RNAcentral lists this ribosomal RNA (250 nucleotides) under uncultured bacterium. Its description in RNAcentral is "partial 16S ribosomal RNA". It matches the Rfam family "Bacterial small subunit ribosomal RNA", at positions 524 to 773 of the family's 1533-position model. The record is from RNAcentral.
UACGGAGGAUCCAAGCGUUAUCCGGAUUUAUUGGGUUUAAAGGGUGCGUAGGCGGUUAAUUAAGUUAGAGGUGAAAUCCCGGGGCUCAACCCUGGAACUGCCUCUGAUACUGGUUGGCUAGAGUAUAGUUGCUGUGGGCGGAAUGUAUGGUGUAGCGGUGAAAUGCUUAGAGAUCAUACAGAACACCGAUUGCGAAGGCAGCUCACAAAGCUAUUACUGACGCUGAGGCACGAAAGCGUGGGGAGCAAAC